Molecule: non-coding RNA, 3837 nt
Organism: Rattus norvegicus (Norway rat)
Lineage: Eukaryota; Metazoa; Chordata; Mammalia; Rodentia; Muridae
Source: RefSeq, a predicted model, not a curated record
AAGUGCAGUUCUCUCUGUUAACGGCUUUGUGGACCCCUUUGGCUGAAAAGAACAUCCGAGCCGUAUUCCAGACCCUUGGGUGGCCUGUCUUUCUGUGGUGACCGCACAGUCACCGUCAGGAGAUGGAGCAAGAGUGUGUGCUCGCCAACCUCGGAACCCUGCUGCCCGGUGACUUUCUGUGCUUCUCUUCUCGUCCAUAGCCUUGUGGGAACUGGAGAACAUCCUUUGAAAGAUGCUAGAAGAACUGAAGAGACAUGGGAGGCUCUGCAGUGUUUGCCUAAUGUUUUUUGGGGGUUUUUUUUUUAAUGUGUAUUUGUGUUCCUGUGUACGUGUUUGCCUGCCUCAGAGGACAGACGAGGUCGUCAGAUCCCCUGGAGCUGCAGUUGUGGGUGGUUUUGAGCUGCCCACUGUGGGUACUGGGAUUUGGGUCCUCUACAAGAACAGUAUGAGUUCUUAAUAACGGAUUUAUUUCUCCAGCUCCUUUUUCUCCAUCUUUAUUCAUUUUCCUGAAACUUUGCAACCCCAGUCUUGUGUGCCUAUUAAUUGCAUGGUUUCCUGCAACAGUCUAUUAAAAACCCCAGAAGGCCAAUAACAAGGUUUGCUACUUGAAAUUAACCUCAAUUCUUUUUUUAUUAAUGAAAUUUGGAGUCACCUUCACUAGCCAGGAAUUUAAUGGGUCAGUUAAUGCCACAGACCUGAUUUUGAGCUUUCGAAUUUGCAUUGGUUAUUACAUUGUAAGUUCAGAGAAAUGAGAAAGUAUUUCAUGAUAUGUGAAAAUUGAUUAAGUUUAAUUGUCAAUAGUUUUAGUUAAGUUUUUGUUUGUUGGUUUGUUCGUUUGUUUGAGACAGUGUUUCAUCGUGUAACAGAUUGGCCUGGGCAUAUAGACCAUGCUGGCUUCUCUCUGUCUCCCAAGUGCUGGCUCUGAAGGCAUGUACCACCACAUCUGGCUUGAAGUAACUUUGACUAAGAUCUUUGUCUAUACUUGAAUGAUACUGUCACAAAGUGGCUUCUGUUGAUAGUGAACUGUACCCUACCUGGGAAAAAAUGGCUGACCCUCCAGCCUGUCAGCCCCAAACUGCCAAAACUGUGUAAGGUUUGACCUAGGCCAGUCAGAUUGUUCUGUAUACCCUUGUCUUAUUGGCCGAAAGUUUUGGCUAAAAGUUUAACUUUGAGCUGUAUUGUAUUCAUAAGGAACUUUUUUUUUUUUUUGGUUCUUUUUUUCUGGUUCUUUUUUUCCGGAGCUGGGGACCGAACCCAGGGCCUUGCGCUUCCUAGGUAAGCGCUCUACCACUGAGCUGAAUCCCCAGCCCCCAUAAGGAACUUGUUAAACCACCUUUGGCUGUAGAACUUCCUGUUUGUUGAGAUAAAUUUAACUCAUUUUGGGAGUUUAAUAAUUGAAAUGUAACAUACUUGUUUCUGUGUAGUAUGUUUCUGUUUUUGCCUUACAGAGUUGAAUAACAUGACUGUGAGGUCUUGAAAUAUUUAGCCCUGUACAGAAAAAGAAAAUGCCCCCAUAACAUGAGGUACACGUCAGAGAUGGGUGUCUGAGGCUCAGCAGAGAGAGAUGAAUGGCAGGCUACCUACAAUUUUUGUAUUUUGUGGAACAGACUCACAGUUGAUGCCCUUUCCAAAAGUAUUCUUCCUUUAUUUAAUAGACUACCUCACACUGAUGCCGUGGUAGUGAAUCAGUUGUAUACACUUAGGCUAGCAGUCAGCCAAAAUUAUGAAUGCAAUAUUUGCUAUUGCUUUUUGUAGUUUUGUGUCAAAUGUCAUAAUAGAUGGUUGGUAUUUCAAGAUCGGUCUUUACAGCCUAAGUUCCUUUUGAAUUUACAUGCCUAGAACCCUCAGAGUUUUCCUAUGGAAUUUUAAACAUAAAUAUAUAUAUAUGUAUAUAUAUAUAUCAUACACACACACACACACACACACACACACACACACACACACACACAGAUUUGUCAGUCCUCACUGAAUUCUUACGGGUAGAUGUGGCUGGAUGAAAGAAAGAUACAGCUAAUGAGUUUCUAAAAGCUAAAAGAUUCUGGGUAGCUUUUAUUUCUUAUCAGCCUUGGCUGAAACAUUGCCCAGGUGAGAUUGACUUAUGGCUUAUGUCUGUAAGAGACUGUCUUGAUUUAUGAUUGAUAUGGGAGGUCUCUGGCCACUGUGGGUGGUGCAUCAGAGCUACAAAAGAAAGCCAGCUCGAACCAGAGAGUAAAACGCAAGCAGCGUUUUCUUCAUGGUAUCUGUUUCUAGUUCUUGCUCUUAGUGAUGGAGUGUGACCUAAAAAUGUAACCCAGAUAAACCCUUUGGACAAAGUAUUUCACCACAGCAACAGGAAGCAAACUAGAAUAGUUUAAAAAAAUGUCAAUCUGACUUAGAAUUGAAGUAAAGAUAACACUUGUAGCCUUGGUGGUGCUUAUCUUCAGUUCCAGCACUGGCAGCAGAGGGAGGCAAAUCUCCAUGAAUUAAAAGCCAGCUUGGUCUCCGGAGAACUCAAGGCCAGCUAGGACUACUUAGUGAAACACUGUCUCAAAAUAUAUAUAGUUCAUAUUUACAUAAUAAAAGCUAAAUAUUUGGUAGCUAGAGAAAUGGCUCAGUGGUUAAAAGCACUAACUGUUCUUCUAGAGUACUGGGUUUGAUUCCAAGCACCCAAACGGCAGCUCACAAUUGUCUGUAACUCCAUUUCUAGGGACAUCUGACACCUGACUCUGACCUCUACAGGAACCAGGCACACAAGUGGAACACACAUAUAUAUGCAAGGCAAAACACCCAUACAAAUCAAGUCAACUUUUUAGAAGGCAUUUGAGUAUUUAGAAAUAGAAAACUAGAAGCCAAGAAAAGAUUUUUUUAAAGUCAAAUAUUUGACAGCCAAAGCUGGUGACCACAUGGGAAAAUAGGCACUUAAUUAUACACUGCUUGAGGAAACGUAAAACGGUGCAAACACCUCUGAGAAUAAUUUAUCUGUAUCUUUUAUUGGCCUAGCAUUCCCACCAUUAGGAAUUUACCCCUGGACAUAUUUCCAAAACUAUCUUACAGAUACUAGAUUGUUUCUAGCAGCAUUGUAAACAACAACAACAACAGCAGCAACAAAGAUGGUUCUAACCCAUGUCUGCUGUCAGUUACUCCAAGAUUCCUGGAAGAAGCUUAGUCCCAAGUGUAAUAGUGAAGUGACAGAACUGAAGUAGACAGGAACCUGCUGGAAGGUAAUUAGGCCUUGGGGCUCUACCUUCGUGUUACAAUACAGCUGCACUCAGGGAGUGGGCGAGACCCACAGGACUGAGUUGGUUUCCUGUCCUGAGCCUGAUGACUCCCAAAUUUCUACAUCCACCCCUUGCCUCUUGUAUGUGUUUCCUGUUGUUAUUCCUUCCACCAUGAGGUCUUUAAACAGAUGCUGAUGUCAUAAUCUUGAAUCUCCGGAACUGGGAACUAGUAAAGAUUCUUUAAAAAUAAAGUGCCGAAUUUUUGUGUUUUGUUAAGCAACAGAAAAAUAGACUAAGAUAGAGAUUAUAUGUUGAACUUUGACAUAGCCAUAGAGUGGAAUGUGUAGCCUUAAGAUGGAAACUUUCUUUUGAUUAAUUAUAGUUUUUUUCCUUCACAUUUUUGAAGGAGAUUUGCUGAUGUCCUUAUGUCCCUUGAAAACAAGAGGAUGUUUUUAGAGUUUUGGUAGAAUACUGCCUUCAUACUCCAAGUGUUUCUUUGGCCAGCUUUCAGCUUAAGAUGUAAAGCUCUCAGCUACUCCUCCAGAGCCUGCCUCCAUGCCACCAUGCUCCCUACCAUCAUGAUAAUGGACUGCACCUCUGAGCCUGUAACCAAGCCCCCCAUUAAAUGCAUUGUAAUAGU